ACGCUCGACACCUACGGGGGGCAGCAGUGGGGAAUAUUGCACAAUGGGGGAAACCCUGAUGCAGCGACGCCGCGUGAGCGAAGAAGUAUUUCGGUAUGUAAAGCUCUAUCAGCAGGGAAGAAACUGACGGUACCUGACUAAGAAGCACCGGCUAAAUACGUGCUAGCAGCCGCGGUAAUCUGAGCGGGCUGGCAAGGC
RNAcentral lists this ribosomal RNA (198 nucleotides) under uncultured bacterium. Its description in RNAcentral is "partial 16S ribosomal RNA". It matches the Rfam family "Bacterial small subunit ribosomal RNA", at positions 328 to 539 of the family's 1533-position model. The record is from RNAcentral.